AUCUACGGCCAUAUAACCCUGAGUGUACUGGAUCUUGUCUCAUCCAAGAAGCUAAGCAGGGUUGGGUCUGUUUAGUACUUGAAUGGGAGAAAGUUUGGAAGAAGAUA
This 107-nucleotide ribosomal RNA is filed under the name Mesocricetus auratus (golden hamster). Lineage: Eukaryota; Metazoa; Chordata; Mammalia; Rodentia; Cricetidae. The record is from RNAcentral.